GAACCGUCCAAACGUUAUUCGGAAUCACUGGGCUUAAAGGGGUGCGUAGGCGGUCCGGCAAGUUGGGUGUGAAAUCCCUCGGCUCAACCGAGGAAUGGCGCUCAAAACUGCCGGGACUUGAGGGAGACAGAGGUGAGCGGAACUUAGGGUGGAGCGGUGAAAUGCGUUGAUAUCCUAAGGAACACCAGUAGCGAAAGCGGCUCACUGGGCCUCUGCCGCAAGGCAUCGCCUUCGGGCGAUCUGACGCUGAGGUACGAAAGCUAGGGUAGCGAACGGGAUUAGAUACCCCGGUAGUCCUAGCUGUAAACGAUGAGCACUGGGUUGGAGGCUCCUCCAUAGGCUUCCAGCCGUAGCGAAAGUGUUAAGUGCUCCGCCUGGGGAGUAUGGUCGCAAGGCUG
RNAcentral lists this ribosomal RNA (398 nucleotides) under uncultured organism. RNAcentral's name for it is "partial 16S ribosomal RNA". It matches the Rfam family "Bacterial small subunit ribosomal RNA", at positions 527 to 896 of the family's 1533-position model. The record is from RNAcentral.